RNAcentral lists this ribosomal RNA (253 nucleotides) under uncultured bacterium. RNAcentral describes it as "partial 16S ribosomal RNA". It matches the Rfam family "Bacterial small subunit ribosomal RNA", at positions 524 to 776 of the family's 1533-position model. The record is from RNAcentral.
UACAGGGGGGGCAAGCGUUGUUCGGAAUUACUGGGCGUAAAGGGCUCGUAGGCGGCCGGCUAAGUCCGACGUGAAAUCCCCAGGCUUAACCUGGGAACUGCGUCGGAUACUGGCGGGCUUGAAUCCGGGAGAGGGAUGCGGAAUUCCAGGUGUAGCGGUGAAAUGCGCAGAUAUCAGGAGGAACACCGGUGGCGAAGGCGGGUCUCUGGGCCGAUACUGACGCUGAGGAGCGAAAGCGUGGGGAGCGAACAGG